Molecule: long non-coding RNA, 1481 nt
Organism: Phyllopteryx taeniolatus (common seadragon)
Lineage: Eukaryota; Metazoa; Chordata; Actinopteri; Syngnathiformes; Syngnathidae
Exons: 2
Source: RefSeq, a predicted model, not a curated record
UGUUGUUUUGUAUUUAAAUAGACAACAUGAAUUCUUGUGUCUAUCCAUCUUCUCAAUUAGCCGUGCGGCGACAGAUAAACCAAAGGCUGUUUUAUUCAUCAGGCUGUUGGGAAGCUGAACUCUCUGCCCGCUCUGCCCGCCUGAACUCUGAACACCCACGCACACGCGCACAUCUCCCGACACUUCCUUCGAAUUUAGAAACGUCUUCAUGUCUCCUCAUCUUUGAGAUUUGAACAUUGAAAUGAUCCCUUCUGACCUGUUGGUUGAGAUAAAGACGCCAUUUGCUCAAAUCAAGUUGUUUUUUUCCCCUCAUUUCUAACCCUGGCCAGAUCUGUACCUCGCCACAAUUCUGUCUCUGAGCUCUUCAGGCAGUUCCUUGGACCUCAUGAUUCUCAUUUGCUCUGACAUGCACUGUGAGCUGUCAGCUCUUGUCUCGACAGGGGUGGGUGUGGCUUGGCCCAAUCAAGUCCAAUGAGUGUCAUCAAACACAGCUGGAGAAGCAUCUCAAGGAAGAUCAGAAGAAACGGACAGCGCCCGAGUUAGACACGGGAGUGUCGCGGCAAAGAGUCGGAAGACUUCUGGCUGGGCGAUAUUUCACUUGUUGGGGCCGCCCAAGUCAAGCCCAUGUCGGGGGAACACUGUGCCUUUUUGCAAAGAUGUACAAUUACAGGGCGUGCCUGCCGGAAAAAGGCUCCAUCGCGUCCACUUUGGAACAACCAAAAGGCCCUCACCCGAGCACCUGAACCAUGAUUGAAUGCUGAUCAUGGCAUACUCGAUAUGACGUCAUAGAGCGCCCGAAUGAAACACGGAACCGCUCUUCUAAACGUGAGAGUGCCAAGUGAACGAACCUGCUCCGCACGAGCCAAUUCCGCUUUGCAUCUCGCAGACUGCGUCCGCUGGUUGCCGCUGUCGCUCUUUCGGUCCCCGAGUGUCCUGCUGUUCUUCUCGCUCGCAAUUCCAACCGCGACGCUCGCUCGCUCGCUGCUUCGUUAGCGGCUAGCAGGCUAAGUGAAGCGAGGCCGAGAAGCUUCGACUUGCACCGAGACGACUUCAACCGCACACGAAGAUUCAACGACUUGUAUCUUACUAGUUUUGGACGUGGUGCGUCGAGGACUCCGAGCUAAUUGACGCAAACAUGUUUCGUGAAGUCUCGUGUGGCAAAAAAAAUACAAUCAGACGUGUGCGGAGGUAGCGCUUCAGCGGAGCCUCUACGGCAACUUGACUUGGACAAAACUUGUGUUAGUCACACGCGAUUCGACGUACAACCGUGGAAAAACACCAAACAAAAUGCAAUUUCGUUAGCGUUUAUGGAUUAUUACAAAUGUAUAUUUCUUUUCUAAACUCAUAUUACUUGUGCUCAGGCCCGCACUCUCUUGUAGUUGUCAAUGAAAUGUUUUCCCCUUUCGAUUGACGAAGUUUGUCCAAAUGGACACCCCUUACAUGGUCUGCUGCACAUUUAGCUCAGCACACGGCUUUUUUUU